Molecule: ribosomal RNA, 465 nt
Filed under: Vreelandella stevensii
Lineage: Bacteria; Pseudomonadati; Pseudomonadota; Gammaproteobacteria; Oceanospirillales; Halomonadaceae
Description: partial 16S ribosomal RNA
Rfam family: Bacterial small subunit ribosomal RNA
Source: RNAcentral
CCUACGGAGUGCUGCAGUGGGGAAUAUUGGACAAUGGGCGAAAGCCUGAUCCAGCCAUGCCGCGUGUGUGAAGAAGGCCUUCGGGUUGUAAAGCACUUUCAGUGGGGAAGAAAGCCUUGGGGCUAAUACCCUCGAGGAAGGACAUCACCCACAGAAGAAGCACCGGCUAACUCCGUGCCAGCAGCCGCGGUAAUACGGAGGGUGCGAGCGUUAAUCGGAAUUACUGGGCGUAAAGCGCGCGUAGGCGGUCUGAUAAGCCGGUUGUGAAAGCCCCGGGCUCAACCUGGGAACGGCAUCCGGAACUGUCAGGCUAGAGUGCAGGAGAGGAAGGUAGAAUUCCCGGUGUAGCGGUGAAAUGCGUAGAGAUCGGGAGGAAUACCAGUGGCGAAGGCGGCCUUCUGGACUGACACUGACGCUGAGGUGCGAAAGCGUGGGUAGCAAACAGGAUUAGAUACCCCUGUAGUC